This 72-nucleotide transfer RNA is filed under the name Candidatus Giovannonibacteria bacterium RIFCSPLOWO2_01_FULL_46_13. RNAcentral's name for it is "tRNA-Met". It matches the Rfam family "tRNA". From Rfam's summary of the family: Transfer RNA (tRNA) molecules are approximately 80 nucleotides in length. Their secondary structure includes four short double-helical elements and three loops (D, anti-codon, and T loops). The record is from RNAcentral. Lineage: Bacteria; Candidatus Giovannoniibacteriota.
GGCGGCGUAGCUCAGUGGUAGAGCGAGGGACUCAUAAGCCCUAGGUCGCAGGUUCGAUCCCUGCCGCCGUCA